CUAAACAUGACUCCUGUCUAAGCAAAUACACACUUGAAGUUUCUCUCUCUAAGCUCGGUAGUAUUUCUCUCUACAAACUUGUGUAAAUUGUUGAAUAUGUCUUGACCACUCACCCUCUCCUCUAAAUGGGGUGGCUGCAAUCCCUCCUCUCUCCCUUCAAAAAGCUGUGGAUUCGUCUAAAUGCUGCUAAGAAGAAGAGUAGAGGGAUGUACAUUUUGUACGAGGAUGUGAAAUCGUGCCCUUAUGAAGACGUCCAUGUGCUUUGGUCCAUAUUGGUGGAGGCACAUCGGCCACCGUUGCCACUGCCACUGCCGCCGCCUCCCAAGUGACGUACGCUUCUCCAUUUAGCAAGAAAAGCGUAUGACACGACGGGAAGAAACCAAAGAGACAGAAAAGUGAAAUACAUACAUGUAAAUACGAUAGAAACUUUCUUUUACAUUUCGCUUUUCAGUUAUCCUUUUACAAUUUUUCAGGCUUAUUCGAGGUAAAAUUAAUACACAAUGCUCAUACAUAAUUUUAGUCUACAUAGAGUUACACACCCACGAGUUUCCAGAAUUAUAUGAUCUGUAUUACUAUUUACUACUAUUUAACAUUUUAAAUUUUUACAAAAAUAUAUAUUACCUUA
Salvia hispanica is the source of this 625-nucleotide long non-coding RNA. RefSeq lists it as uncharacterized. The record is from RefSeq and is a predicted model, not a curated record. Lineage: Eukaryota; Viridiplantae; Streptophyta; Magnoliopsida; Lamiales; Lamiaceae.